This is a long non-coding RNA of Bolinopsis microptera, 633 nucleotides long. RefSeq lists it as uncharacterized. The record is from RefSeq and is a predicted model, not a curated record. Lineage: Eukaryota; Metazoa; Ctenophora; Tentaculata; Lobata; Bolinopsidae. The transcript is spliced from 3 exons.
UAAUAUUCCGCAGGUUCGUGUGAAGACAAAACAGGAAGACAGUAUGGUGUUGGGGAAACUUGGUACGCAGACUCAUGUUUACUAUGCAAAUGUGUUGCUGACAAGACAGGACGAAAAGACGUUGAAUGUGACAGAUUGGCAUGUGACGAGACCAAUGAAUGUGAACCCGAUAAACUGAUCAAAACUCCGGAUCAGUGCUGCCCAGUCUGUACUCAAACCCGUGAACCACAUGACGGCUGUUCUGAGGAUGUUCCCGCAGUAACUUGUAUUUCGGACCCUUGUCUCACAGCAAAAUGUGAAAACAAUCCCGAUGCUCAAUGUGUAGUUGAUAAAUGCGGGGAAUGUACGGCGAGGUUCUACGAUGUGACGGGAGCCAUGAUAUUAGACUGCCAUAACGGUAGGUUAUAUUUUAUUAAAUAUUUUAAAAUUCUUGAUCUAACAGCAGCAGGUUUUUUGACUGAUGAACGUUAUUUGUAAUUGUAGUAGAUAUAGGAUGAUUUUCGUUUCUAUCACAUAACUGUUACUUUACAGUAAGAAAUACGUUAUUGUUAACAUAAUAAUAAUAAUAAUUAGUGGAGGCCACUGGUUAGUUAAUAAAUAGCGAUGCUAGAACUUGGUGGGCGACAAAUACUG